UCCCUGAGGGUCCAGUGGUUAGGACUCUGCACUUUCACUGCUGGGGUCCCAGGUUCAAUCCCUGGUUGGGGAA
Molecule: non-coding RNA, 73 nt
Organism: Bos taurus (domestic cattle)
Lineage: Eukaryota; Metazoa; Chordata; Mammalia; Artiodactyla; Bovidae
Source: Rfam